Gallus gallus (chicken) is the source of this 22856-nucleotide long non-coding RNA. RefSeq lists it as uncharacterized. The transcript is spliced from 9 exons. Lineage: Eukaryota; Metazoa; Chordata; Aves; Galliformes; Phasianidae. The record is from RefSeq and is a predicted model, not a curated record.
CCUUGAUGUGCUCAGGACUGGGGAUAACCAACAGUGUUUUAUUCUUGGUAGGACUUUGUCAUCCAGAUGCCCCCUCCAGCCCUGCUUGGCUUCUCUGCAUGCCUGUAGGAGAGUGCAAGUCUGGUCUAGACUCAGGUAAUAUAAGGACAUACAUACACUGCACAUAAGGACAGCAGACCCAGAAGGACGAAAGGAUGUGAAACAGCACUACUGACUGAAGUCUUGGUGCGUUCUGUCAUUGAACACCCUACAGACAAGGCUGAAUGUUUCAACUCAAAAGCAUUAACACAAGGAGACUUCAAAGUUUCCAAACUCUGAAAUAGAAACUUGAAGAAAAUGCCUUGCUCACGGAACAACCCAAUGCUCAGGUGACUUGACAGCCAUUCUGCCAUAGGUUAACCUAAUUUUCCCUCUGCUGACUGAACUUAUAUGGACAAAAUACAUCACCAAAACGUUUCAUGAAGACACUCUGUGUUCCUGCAACAUCCUGCAACAUCUUCAGCCCAUCUGACAAACUGAGUCUGUGGUGACAGUUGAAAUAACUCUUCCUGGAGAAAGCUGCAACAUUUAUUAAUCUGACGGAGAAAAUCCACAGGUGAGAAGUCCUUGUUUUCCAAAUACUCACAUACUGGAUGAUGGUACUUCCCAACACAAUGCAGUUGUAUUUUAUGCUUUAAUUUCUCACAUUUUUCUCCCUUCAAACUUUUAAAGAGGUAUAUAUGCACAACUUUAUCUUUUAAGGAAGUGUGCUUGUGUUUUUCUACUUGUAUUCCUUGAUUUUAACACUAACACCAUUUCAAUCUCUAUUGAGAUCUCUUAAAAUCUCUGCCUGAUCUGGUGGUUUUUUCCCACUUUUUGCUACAAAUUAUACCUUGUUUGCAGAAAAACCAACAUGUUCCUUCUGUGGUUGUAAUCUCAAUAGAUCACAGAUGCACUGAGUAGGUCUGAUGGCUUUGCCAUGUAUGGCAUCACUGUAGUGGCAGAAGCUACUUUCUGCCCUUCUGGCCCUUCUCUGGGCAUAUUCUGUCUUCCCCUUCUGCCUAUACAUCAUUCAUUUUGCAACUAAAAUUGAUGGAUGGAAAAUUAAAGUCCACUAUGUACAUUAUUUGCUAUAGUAGUCACAUGAUUUACCACAUUAUUAAAAAUUAGAUAAUUUCAUACUGAUUUCAAGGCAUUUCCUCUGCAGGUUCAGCUAUUAGCUAUUAUGCAUUUUAUUUCACUUUGCAGAGAAUUUUGUUUGGUCUACUACAGAAAUAUUAUCAUCAAAUAUUAAUAGUUUUUUCCUAUUUGCAGUCCAAAUAUGCUAAGUGUUUGACUGUUUUCCAACAUCCUAAUAAACUAUACUGAAAGGAAAGAAUUAUGAUUGCCUUAUAUGAUGAAAUAAGAUUACACUCAGAAAUGAAGUUCCAUUUCUGAAAAGCACAAUGUAGUCUACGUGAUUAAUAAAGAAAUGCUAGGGCUUUCAAUGUACAAAUGCAAUUUGUCAAUCACUUUUUUUUUUAAUACCAGAACACUUCAGAUAUUCUUGUACCUUCCCCAAUUCAAAAUCCACUUGAACUUCUGUGGGAGGCAGUUAACAAUAAUGAAAGCUAACUUCAGUUUGGAGUACAUUGUUUUUAAAUGCCACCCACAGAAUUUCACGUCGAUCUUGAAUACUUUGAGUUAAGAAAGACUCCUCUUUGAAAAAGAAGAUGGACAGUACAUCCAGUACCAAGAAUUUUAAUUUGCAUUCACUGUAAAUUCCUAAGCUUGUUCUUAAAACAGAAACCAGGAUUGGCUUUCAGAAAGUGCAGGCAUGGAAUACACAGUCAUUUUAUUUACUAAGACUACAGCAUAGAUGAGAAGGAACGCAACCUCCAGAUUCACCUCAAAUUCUGCAGCUCUAAAUUCCACCUCAAUUUCAUGGCCUCUUUUUUAUUUAAUUGGAUGCUUCUAAAGACAACAAACAUAAGACACCUUUAAUUUGCAGGGUAGCCAAAGUUUAAACAGACCCAAUUCCUCAUAAAUGUGCAAGCAUCAUGUUUUCUGAAAUGCUUCUACUCAAAAGUUGACUUCAGGAAAAAGGCAAAGAUUGUGUUAAAAUGAAGACAAUCUUUGUAAAAUAUUUUAGUUUAAAUUCCAAGAUCUUUAGGAAUUGUGAUCACUGGUGUUAGUACUUUACCAUUUUGUAAGAAGUAGAUGGCUACAUAAUAUAAAGAAUUGCCACUAACGAAGGAUGUGGUACAGCCCAUUUAAAGCUCUUGCCAACUACAAAAGUAAUAAUUAAAGUUUGAAAAAGAGCAUACAGUGAAUACAGUGGUUCAGUUUGAGUCUUAAAUAGAUAAUGAACUACUAAAUCUAGUAUUUAAAGCACUCUGUGCUACAUGAAACACAAAUUUAGUAUGCUAGUAGAACUAACAGAUGACCAAAUCGAGUCUCUUUUACUCCCAACUUUGGUUUCAGUGGGUGACAUUCCACAUGUGGUUAGUGGCACUACUGCUGUUAAUUAAAAGCAAAUUUGGGGCCCUGAGAGCCAAAUACAAGCCAGAACAGUAUUGUUCUUCAUGCAGGGUACAUGGUUGAAGGGGCAGGGCAGUCAGGCCCUCAUGAGCAGCCCUCCCAUGGACCACGCAGGCCCAGACUGAUGCUCAGCACCUGCACAGGGACAGGAAGGUGUUCCCAAAAUACUCCCAGAGGCACAGUGAGGGUGAAUGCUCAUCUGAGCUGGUAGCCAAGGCAGAAACAUAACAACCUCAUACCUGACUGCUGUGCUUCUAGCCACAGAUUGAAAAUCCUCUUGACAUAACUUAAUUACACCCAAGAGGACAUUAUGCCAUAGCAUAAGCAAGAUAUUAUGAGAAUGUUGUGUCUCUGCUGGUGGCGUUAUCUGAGUCACUUUUUAUGGGAUUAAUAUUGUUUAAGUAAGCUGAAGAGAAUUUCACUGCACUAGGUAGAAUAGCAACAGAACAACAGGUCCAGAGGGUGAACAAUGCUGUUAGAGGCGAUGGUGGAUAAUUAUGAAACAUAAUUAUACUUUGAGUUUCUCAGGGAAAAGAAUAAGACCUGAUAAACAUUUCAGCAUAUUCUUGCCAUUAGGAAAAAAGAACAUCUCAAGGAAUUUAAAACCAUAUGACAGGAGUUUUUUCAGUAGGAGUUUGUGAUGCUGAAUCCUUGGAUUAGAUGGGUCAUUUAAAUAUAUGAAAAGAUUAUUUAAUUCAUGUACCCAGUACCUGUACAAAUAAAAGCAAGAGGUAGCACGAUAUUGUAUGUGUGCAUAUAAGUAUACGCUGUUAAUUUUGGACUUAGAAUGUUUUUAUACAACUCCAUUGUUUGGAUAAUGUACUUUGGAUUCCAAAAAAUUGGGACUUUGUAAUAUUGCUGAAGGAUGUGGCCUCAGCUGAACUAACAUUGUGCUAUUUGGAGUCACUUAUGCAAAACUGUCAUUCUACCUUAUGUUUAUCCAAUUUAGGACAGGUAUUAUGGGGCCAGAAAUGUGUGUUGGCUACAGAAACAGAUGUGCUACAAAAUGGGAAAAUCUGUAGCUGCCUUAACUGGGAUCCCUUGCGUUUUGUCAGUUCAGAUCAAGGCUUUCAUGCAUAGCUAUGCAUGGUUUUUAAUGAAUAUUUUUAAAAAUUAUUUUGCGUAUAUAGAAAAAGAUCCAGCAGAUCAAAAUCUUUUACAGUCAGUGACAAAUUAACAAUACGUUUUGUGAGGCUAAGAGAGAGUGAGAGAAGAUACAUCGCCGUGUAUAUUUUUGUCUUUAGGUGUCCCCCUUAACAAUAAAAAAAGCUGUCAAAAUGUCAAGAUGUGUUGACUUCACAAUAAGCAAGAAAACAAGAAACCUUGUGAAAGAGCAUGAGAAUAGAAAUGCUGUAAGAGAAAACUUUGCUUUACUGUACAUUUUUCAACAUUUACUUAGAUCACGUAUCUAAAAAUAAGUAUGUCUGCCUUUCCCAUUAAAUUAGUCUCAGCCAGACUAUGUUGUCAAAUACAUACAUUAUAUAAAACCUAAAGAAAAGGGUAUUAAAAAUAGAAGAAAGUAAAUAAAACAAAAAAUAGAAAGCACACAAGUAUCUUGCUUUGAAAAAAAAAGAGAUUUGCUUUCAUAUACAUAAAUACAAAUGAUUCUUUUAUCCUGGCAUGUAUAUCUUUAUUUAGAGGUGUGUGUACAGGAAUUUCCAAAACUACAGAGGAUCUGUCAGAAGAGUCUGUGAUAUAUAUCUGAGUACUCUACGCAGCAAUUUCUCCUGCAGAACAAUGUGAAAGCUUGCUUAUAGCAAUACACCCAUACAUUUGUUUUUAACAUUAAAGAAAACCAACAACAACAAAAAAAAUUGGCACUAUCUAUUACUCAAACAGACCACCUAAAUGGGUGUAUUUACUUUACUAUUGGCUGGUUUAAGAAUGUAUUUGCUGAGAAAUGCAGAUUCAGGACAACUGAACUAUUUGUAUGUAAUUCAAAAGAUUGGCUCCUCUAAGGAAAAAGGUUUUAGAAGACAUCAAAGUGUUUUAUUUUGUUUCAACAUUUGAAAGCAAAUUUGUUUCUAUUUUUUACUUCCCCACUGCUUCAUUUCAAAGUACUUCUUUUCAAAAAGUAAAAUAUGAAGACAUUUUUAAGACUUUUGUUUUGUUAGAAAAGCUAAUGAAAAUAGUUUAGAUUAGCAUGAAGCCAGCCACUAGCUGUCUGGGGUGGUUUGGUAUCACCUAGCAACACAAGGAUCAGUUGAUCUUAUCACUUCAUAACUUCAAAUGAAAGGAGACAUUCAGAAACUAUAUCCUACUUCUUGAUAAGUAAAAUUCAAUCAGAUGUCUCAUCGUAUAACGUGCAUGGAGAAGGUCUAUACUUACACAAAAAUGUUAAAAAAUUGAUCUCCAUUCCUCAAAGCAUAGAGUAUCGUUGUCCUUAUUUUUGAAGAGUUGAUAUCAAAUAUUUCAAGUCAACUCCAUGCAAACAAUAGUCUGAUGUUGUAUGAUUAAAUGUUUCCUCUGAGUUGUUAGGGUCAGCAAGAUCUGCUGCAUUUUUAUGGAGAGUUCCAUAAAGGUCACUAGGAAAAGCAAUACUACAAAAAGAAAGGAAGAAACAGAAGUAAUAAAAGUGAAGUUCUCGGUGGUGUUUACAUUAAGACCGCCAACCAGGCUAACUGAGCUCUUAGGGAAGGGCUUGCUUCCACACUAAGUUCUCAAGGCAACAAUAAUAAAUCCUGUAAGAGAUCAUAACUGGAUUUCCAUGGCAGAAUCUUCACAUUCUAAUAUUAUCCUGAUUCAAUUUCUCAAGCUGGUGGUACAUAUUUCUCGGAGGGUCUCACAAAGACCAUUUUUCUUAUGUGCUCUGGGAUUCAUGAGUGGAUAGGAAGAGCGCUGGUAACAGAUGGCAUGUUUGCUGCACUGUAAUAUCAGAAGAAGGCUUGUGCUGGUUUUCUUCUGCAAUUUGUUUAAUUUUACAGGUCUGUGGGUAUGCAAAAUUAAAUAAAACCUUUUCUUCCCUCUGCCUAAUGCAUAGUUAUGAUUUAUGUUCUAAAUAACCCCCUAAACUAUUCAAAGACUCAAUUACAGGAAUAACUGUUCAAAUGCAUAACAAAUGACAGCCUUUGCUCCAAAUAGUAAAUAAUUUGAACAGAAAACCUGUGAAAAAUAGGAGUUGUUAUAUUCUUAUCACAGAAGUCACAAAAGAAGCUCCUGUUUCAACAAAAGGUGACACUUUCUGUGUUUAGAGUGGGCCUGUCCACUCAGUGUAGUGCUCCGUUUCUCUUUCUUUCAGUUACUUACAUAGAGUUAGGUGAAGAAAAUCAUUAAAUUAACAGAGAUCUAAUUGCUGACACAUCGCAGUUGUGUGUUUGAGCCCAAGAGAGGAAAAGAACUCAGCCAGCUGCCAGGCUCCAGCUGCCCCAUUGCGCCCCAUUUCCCAGACGGGGCAGGCAGAAAUGUGGCCUUCAGAACUCCAAGUUUUUCCCUUUUCAAUACCCACCCAUAAAAGCUGUUGAUUCAGGUUUUCUUUUCUCAAGCAAAACUCAAGCUCCUCAACUUUUAAACUUCUCUCAAAGAUACAUCCUGAUACUAUAAGUCAUCCAGAAUUCUAUUUGGAUUUAGGAAAUGAAUUUUGCCUGGCCUGCACUCAAAUCCUGGCAAUCCACACUAGGCUUACAGAGCAUCUGCUCUUUGGAAAGUACGUCUUAUUCUUACCACACAACUUAUUCAUCUUGCAAGGAACGUUGCAAGGAAACAGAAACCAGAAAUGGUUCAGUCAAAAUCUCCUUACAGCCACAACUCAUACCUACAAUUAAAAAAAAUAAGAUUCGGAUAAUAACCAUGUUCGUGAUGGAAAUUAUCCUGUUUAUCGAACUCUUUAUAUAUCAGAGACAUCAAGAGUCGUAUUAUGUUAGCAUACAGAUGUACGUAUUUGCAAAGGAAAUGGCAAAUUCCUAAUCAAGAUUCACCUGCUCCCAGACUCAACACGAGAAUAUACCAGUGACUGUCAACAAAAUGUCAAAUGAAAUUAUGCAAUGUGCAAAGGAAGUGUAGGAAAAGAUCAUUUGGGAGACGUUUCUAAUCAUGUUAAAUACACAUAGCAACUCUAAAAGCCUGAAUUUCAAAGGCGUGGAGGUACCUAAUGAGGUUUUUGAAUAUGACUUUUCAGCACUGCUGAAACAUUGCAGGAAGAGCCUUACUGCACCUACGCACCUUUGAAAUUAUCAUUUUAUGUUUCUAUCUUCAAAUCUAAAAAUACCCUUUCAAAGCUACAGAAUGAACCAGGCAGGCUCCAGGCAGCAAUGUCAUCUCUGCAUACUGGAGACUGAAGGAGCAUUUGAAGAUGUCUUUCGACUUCAGUGUGCUUCAGACCUGGCCCGGUAAGGAGCAGGACUGGAAUUUGUACAGAUCCAUCUGUGACCCCACUUUGUGCUGGCUACUGGUGUGAACAUCUCCUGGUCUGUAUCCUUGCUGUGGGCACAGUGGUUUGGAGGUGGCCACUUGAAGCCACCAUGUCACAGUCCCUGACCUGGGCUAUACAUUUUCUAGAUCUCCUCUCUGUGUUUCUAAGAAUUGGAGACGGUGAGUUUUCAGUCUGGAGAACUUCUGAAAUGCAGGGGCUGAGCAGAGCAGCUCCGAGCAGGUGUAAACCAGAACAGAGCGUGCCAAUAAGAGCAUUGGGACAGUGCGGGACAACACAGAGUCAGCCAGCAAAGAGAAGGAAAAAAAACCUGGAUUUUAGUGUACUUCGAAACAAGCUAAGCCUUACUGAGCAAGCCCAAGAAUAUUAACUGAUAAGCGUGGAGGACUGGGACUUGGACCAAUUGGGGAGCUAAGCUGUUGACAGCACAGAUAUACUUGCAAUUUCCACUGGCUUACUUUUUUUUCCUUUAUAAUUUGCUCUUUCCUUCUUGAUUUAAAACAGAGAAAUAUAUUAACAACAAAGAGUAAACACUGCAUUUGAAAAAUACAAUAAAAAUCCAUUUUCCUUUUGCCAUUCCCCCCUGCAAAAGUGAAUGAUUUACAUAGUGAUGCCCAGGCCUUCCUUUUCCUCCCCACGGGCAGGCUCUGAGCUUAAGAAACACAAAGAGCAGAAUACAGAUCACUUUCUGCUUCCAUGACAUUCCAUGAUUUCAGCUGAGAGCAAUUUACUUAAGAUAUAUUUCUCCAGCUAGGGAUACACAGCACCGGUUCUCCUUAUUGUCCUGGACAUUUCACCCGCUGCACCAUUAGUUUCCUCCGAGAACAGAAGUAAAUAGCACAAUUUGUCCUUGCAGAAGACUGGCUGUUUUGUAAAUGUGAAGAAGCUCAUGGCAAAUGGGUAGAAUGUUAGGAGUAAAUAAGAAAAAUGGGGCAGCAGAAAUAAAUCUUUUAUGAUGACUUCUCUCAUUCAUUUAAAAGGGAAAAGUCUUUGCUGUUCUUUGCCAGAGUGAAGACACAGCAGUUGUAAGUUCCAGAGAAGAUAACUUCAGUUCAUGGGUAAUUUUCUACAUAGACUUGAAAUAUAAAGUGGAAAGAAAAAACGUGAAGACAUGGGCUUGCAAAACCAGCCAGCAAUUUAAGAAAAUUACAUCAGCAAGCAGAGAUGUGUGCUACAGCCACUUUAAAAAUAAAUUGCUUUAAACAUGUAAGUAAACAAAUGAAAACAUUAAAUCUCAUUUCACUUUUCAGAAAGCUACCGUAGGUAUUGAACUAUGCGUAUUGUAUCUCAUCUUACAAAAAUGUUUAACCACAUUCCCACUUCAGAUGUUUCUGAUGGACCACUUGCCAAUCCGUCAUUUCCAGGAAUGGGUUCAUGCUUUGCCUCACCUGGAGCUCUGCAGUUUAAGCCUUUUUAGGCGCUCAAGAGAGUUGGUUGGAAAUGUUAAGUCUCUCUUUUGGUGCUUCUCAGACUAUCAGAAAAACUCAGCAUAAGUGCAGCUGACAAACCUGUCCCAGUCGGUUGUGGCUGGGAAUUCCCUGAGCAAAUGGAGAAGCCAAAUAUCUAAGUUUGCUGGUUUUUUUCCUGCAUUUUUAGAUGAUACAGUGAUGCAGAGGGUUCUUCCACCAUGACUGCUUCAAACAAUCAGAGCAAGGCAAAAAGCAGAUUCAUUAAUACAUCCAAGAGAAAAGUAAGCAUUAGGCAAAUACAGAUUGGUUGGAAACACUGAUUUCUUAAGGAUUUUUGCUGAUGCCAGGUAGAAGAUGGUUCAGGUCACUUGGGAUCACCAGUAUGUCUAAAGCAGUCACAGCCCAACCUUCUGUCACAAUGGAGAAGUCAGGUGCUUUCCCUGCUCCCACCUGUCCCCUGCCAUACCUCCUGCCCCUGAAUGUCUCAUCGAAAAACCUCUUUUCAUUCAUUUUUCCCCUAAUCUAUUGGGGCAGGGAAACAAAAAGAAGCUUUCACAGCCAUGAAUCUGCAGAAGGUGGUCCCUCCGAAAUGCUCUACUACAAUAACUAAAUUCCCUGAGUUCACUGAAUAAUAUCUAAUUUGUUAGACCAUAUACAUGGUGACUUCACCUCCCAAACAGAAUGUUGUUUCCCAGCCUGACAAACUGAUGGAUCAUUCUUGUUAUCUGCCUGUGAGCUUCCUCAUUGAAUUCUGAAGAGAUGUUAUAAGGGGAAAUAAAUUCAGAAGAUGAAGUGGUUGAAAUUAGAAACCUUGAGAUUUAAGGCUAAAUUACAACAUUUCACAUUUCUCUCUAACUCCAGACCAGAGGGGUUGUGAGUAUUAGGCAAGUGCUAAAGUGCCAUGGGGCUCAUGUCACGGAGUGGUGUUUAAGGUAUGUGAAAAAUCACCAAUUUAAGCUUUCAAAACAUAUAACCCUCAUGCUAAAUGCCCUACAACUAUGCUCCUUUUAAAUGCAGGCACAGAUAGAUGACUUUUAGUGUAGGGGUGCAACAUUACUGGCUACGUGUUGGUGAGAGAGAGCCCAUCAAGAUAUACAAAACUCAAAGUUGACAUCAUGUAUGCAUGGAGGGGACAAAGUGAAGGCACAAGUUAUGAGAUACUACUGUUUAGAUUCCCUCUGGACGUGGACACUGUGGUGGAAAUGCUAAGCCAGGGCUUGAAGCAGUGAUUGAGCACCUGGUAGGAAGGCAGGGCCAACCCAGAGCUCAGGUGCAUGCAAUGCAAUGGAGCCAGCAUGCAUCCCUUCCCAGACCUUAUUUAAGGGUUGGCAGGGGAGGCAAGGCUUUUGGAAAUCUCCAUGUGCCUGAGGCCUUCUGAAAGUAAGUUUCUUCUUUCUUCUUUCUCUUAUUUCUUCACAUGCUGCUGUUGCAUUUGAGUGAAUCCUCACUUGCUGUGGCCUGGGAUCUUGCUGCUCUGCUGUCAUUGUGUUUUUCAUCGUGUUACAGACACACCCAGGAGUUUGGUCUGUAAACUAUAAUGGUUAUUCAAUUCAUUUUUUUAAGUGAGCACCUGCUGUGAAUUUCAUUAUACCUUUUGUCUGUAAUGCUGUCACCAGACUCUUGGGUGUAUUUUCUUGUGGCUGCCUCUGUAGGGAGCACGAUUCUUUGUGUAUUACAAUGGCUAUCAAGGGAAAAGAAAUGUCACAUCACAACCACAGCUUUUUGAGGUGCCUUGCAACACAGCCGUAGAAUUAGCAUACCUUGACGAGCCCACAGGAUCCCAUAAGAGUAAGACUGCAGAUUUUUCCUAUUUGUGCCAGGGGACAGGUUACGGACAAUAAACUAUCCCUGAAUACAGGUUGGCCAGUGCCAGCACUGAUACCAGUCCUCAGGAGACCAAUUCAUCAGUUGUAAAAGCUGGGCAUGGCGCCUAGGGCGGCAGAGCCUGUCCUCCUGCAGGUAUGGCCCUGGGAAACUGCUGUUGGAUGAUUAGGAAAAGACAGUGUGGGAAUGACCAAGAUAGUUCAUUUGUUUGAAUGUGAGUAAAUGCCACUUGCGAGAAGCUGCAGGCAGAGCUGUAGAGAAUUAAGUCCGCCUAUGGGAAAAAGUUUCUCUUACUUCUUUACCAAAUAUAGUCUGUAAAACUGGUAAGCACGAAGCAGGAAUAACUCUCUGAUGUGACUGUGGCUGAAGGUGCUCCCAGUGUGGAGCUGAUGUCUCUGGAUGCAGCUUGUUCUGCCUUUCCUGACCCAUCCUGGAACUUUAAUGUAAAGUAGAAACCAGGAAAGCCACCUCCAGAAGUAGCUUCAGACUUUUGAAUGUCCACCAGUUCACACAGCAAACCUUCUAUUCAGUUACCAGCAGGGACUGGUCUCCAGGCCAGCCUCAAUGCUGGACAGCAAACUCUGUUUUUCACUUCCUGACACUAGAGGUACAGCAAUUCUGCCUGCCUUGUUCUCUCCUUAUCACGCAGAAGUGUUAGUAUGACAGCAUCAACAAGAAUAAGAAGUUAUUAAAGUGUUUUUGGCCAAUGAAAUCCAAAAGCAGUCUGUUCACACCUGGAGAACCCCUAUAAAACAAGUUUUUCUCUGCCAAAUCAUAAGGACUGAGGAGAGGACACACCAGAUUGCUGCGAGAUAAACUAAGCUUCACAGCAUUUCUUCUAUGCUAUUAAUAAAAAUUCUGUCCACGGAGGACGUUGGUAGUAUUUUACAUUAACUUACAGUACUUAGAUCUGACAAACCUGGCAAGCUCAAAAACAGGUGCAUGUAAUCUAUAAUCUCCUCCCUGGAUAUAGGUUUUUAUCAGGAUAUUGUGGCUUCUAAGGCAGAAAGUCUAUAGCUAAACUGGAAUUGAUUUUAUUCAGGACUUAUAUUCACGAAUAAAUAUCACAAAUAGUUUAAUAUAAAUGUCAGCUAGGGAGAGGAUUUCAUCCUAGCCAUACUCAGAGGUUAGGACAAUAUGUCACUGGAGAUACUUUGUUAAUGGAUAUAUACUUUGCACUCUGCACAAUGGCUGCAUAAAUUAUGAGAAUUAUGAAAAGGAACACUAACAAAUUGAAAAGUAUGUCAGAAGGUAUUUACAGAAUGCAUUAAAUUUAUCUGAGAUAUUCAGCAAGGAGAAGGAUGCUGUUGGAGUGGAGAGACCAUUAAGUUGUUGAAAACAGCUAUUUUAAAAUUGCAGCCAACACUUGGGCAUCUUGCAAAGCCUCCACUGCAGCGAGUUUCUGCUUCAAUCACUAAUUUUCUUGUCUGAAAUCAGCCUUGCAUGGUUCGUUUUCAUGAACUUGAGAAAAAUAAACACCAAAAAAAGAAAUGGCUGCUUUGUAAGUUCACCUAGUGAUUAAUAGCAGUGUGUUGUUAGAGUCAGGGUAGUAUGGUUAGGUUGUGGUUGGACUCGAUGAUCUUUAAGGUCUUUUCCAACAUGAGCAAUGGUAUGGUUAAUGCUACUUAACUUCAUUGGUACAGUAGGACAUGUCUGACCUGUACUGCUGAAAGAAAUGGUGAGCAAAUGUAAUUCUUUCUUAAUUACGUCUCUUUGCAAGGUGGAAAAUGAAUGGUAACUUGAAGAAAUAGUAAUAAGCUGGCCAAAUCACAGAGCAGUAGAAAAAUCAGAUUCUUACACCCUAAACAUUGUGAAUUGUAAGAAAUGUGCAUUCACAUUCCAAACUGCUUCUUUUUGAUAGAGUUUUUAAUCAGAAUGGAAAAAGAGAAAGUAUCUGUCCUGAUGACAAAAAUUGCAAUGAGAAUAUUCUCCUCCUCUUUAAAAUCUCCUCAGUGUGGGGAAAUAUGCUUCUGUCUCAGGUCCAUAAAGUAUUCAGCUCAUGCCAGCAGAUUAUGCUUCUCAAGAAAUUCACACGAUCAAUCACCCUGCCUGUCAACUCUCCAUUAGGAAAGUGACUGUGCUGAAUCAUCGAAUCACCUGGCCUGCCUUCCAGCUGCCCUGCCAUGACUGCUGCUUCCCAUUUGGUUUAUAAAACAUGUAGCUGCAUUCUCCAGUGGGCAAGGAGCAAUUAGGAAACAAGCAUGAGCAAUCACAGAUAAAAGCUAAGCAAGCCAAUCUGAACUACAAGAUUUAAAAUCCACCACGAAAAGCAUGUCCAUUAGCAAAACCAUCUCAUUUUAUCUUUGUCUAUGAUGUUCCAAAGACCAACCUGCUCUUGGACAAAGAUGCUUGAAGCUUACUGUUCUAUCCACCACCUCAAAGCUAUAGGGAUGUCCUGGCUGUUCCAGGCUGUGCUAGGACACUGGUACCAUCUCACUGCCACUCACCUCAACAGGACUUUUUCAGCAUCCUUGCCCAGAUCUCAGUGAACUCCAUUAAGGAAUUCUCUGUUCCCAGAGAGCAUUUCUAUACUUAAUGAACCCUGUCAGAAAUGUGUCUAAUGAUUUUAAUUCCUUACGAGCAGCAUUUUUAAAGCUUUCUAGUGUUUUCUUGCUCAUGUGCCUAAAAUAUGCCUAGGAGAUAAGUGAGUGUGAAAGCAUCGUGUUCUGUUCCUGACUUCUCUACUGCAUAUUUCAUCAAGGAUGUAAAAACAAGUUCAGAUUGCCUUAAGAACUAAAAGUACACUUUUUUUUUUCCUUAGUCCAUCACCAACCAUUAUUAGUUUUUGGUAAGCAGCAAGUGAUUAACAUGCGUUACUUCCAGGUGAUUACAACUGAGCUUAUCUUCAUACUGACACCAUUGUUACCAUAGCACAUGGGUAUAACAAGUUCUCCUUUCUAUGUUUAAAAAAAUAAUGAUGGUACCAUGAUGUUUUAAAGUUGCAGUUCCUCCUUCUCUUCCUGUCUUUGUACAUCAAGCCCCAUAGGAAGCAAUCAUUUCUAUGCAAAUGCUGUGUAAUAGAAAUAUAACUUCUCUAUAACCUGCCUUUCCGUGGGGAGAUCAAUCUGCUGUCUGUUUGGCUGUGGUUUCCAAGCAAAGCACUAAGCUGCAAAUUUUUAUGCUAUUAGUGGCCUUCUGCAUCAUUUACAUUCUCAUGUUUCGCUUUUGAUUUGUGCACACUUGAUUAAUUUUGGAGGAGCAAUAAUAAUCUUGUUUAUGCAGCAACUGAGAUUUUCCAGAUUCAGUAAUCUGAGGUAGCUGAUGCUAACACCACAGAGACCAUGUGUCCUAUGUAUUAUAAUGUUCAGAACAAGUGUAUCAAUAGCUAUUUCCAGUAAGCCUGCAUUAUUUCCUUUUAACACGUUUUACAGUAAUAGCGUAGAUUUGAUCUUUCCUGAUCUUAAAAUGUUACCUUAUCAAGAAUGCCCCUAAGAGCUUUGCCUCUCUUAACAUCAAUCAUGUGUGUAAAGCUUCUUGAUUGCCUUUCAUGUACGUGGACCUGGAGGUAGCCUUUUCUGCAGCUGCUGCACACCAGCAGAUAGCAGUACCUGGGUGUAUUGCAGGAACGACCCUUCGGGUGAUAUUCUAUUCAUCAGGAGGGACCAAAAAUUGCACAAAGUUUUUGUAAUUCAGAGGAAACAACUCCUGCAGCAGGAGACUUUUCAUGCAAGACGCCGUGGCUCCACAGUGGGCUUUGAAGGGAGAGAGGAGUGGAAGUGUGGGGUAGUAAUGGACCUUCUGCCUAGCAAAGGACAAUCCAGAGAGAAAUUGAGGCUGUGAAAGUUAGUUCACAGCAUAAUUAAUGGACUAUCUAAAUUAAAUAAUUUCUAGUUCACUUCCCGAUAUAGGAAAUGGUUUUGAACAUAGAAUAUUACAUUUCCCUUAAUGGUGCCUUUAAUGGCCAGAAGCUACAGCUUUUGCUAGAUGCACAGUUUCCAAAUGAGACCCAAUUUGUAUUCGUACCAAACUGAUAAAAACAGGAGCAUUUAUGUUCAGGAUUAUUGCAGUACCUUCAGCAAACAAACACGUUUUUUGCCCUUGUUUCCAGUAGCAGAGUCCAGCCUCCUGAAUACCCAUCUCCUGUCAGUGGUUAGGAAUCUAACCCUUAUGACCACCAGCACUGCUCAUGCCUCAAUUCUCAAUCAAAAAAAGACUGAGAGAGAUUGGAGAGAAAGUACAAGAGAAGUCUUGAAAUCUUGCAAACAGGUGAAUACAGGUUUUGUGUCAGAUUAAAUAUAGCCAUGAAAGAAGAGACUAUGGCAGAUUCUGAGCAUUGAGCUUUUUUUACAAUUUAAGUACCUUUGUGACAGGAAGACAUGGUGAACUGUUAGCUAAAUAUAAAGGAAUUAAAUGCUUCAUCUCUUCAGAAAAUUUACACAAUUGAACAAAAUCUGCCAGAAACAUAAAAUUGCUUUCAAACAAGUGUUGCCAAAGGUAAUUGCAUGGAGAUUCCUAUUUUUCAUAGUUUGAGUGUGAAAAAUGAUUAACUGCACACACAAAAAUAUUAAAGAAAACAAACAAAUGGUUCAUGAAAUAACUCAUAAAGAUCUAAAAGAUCUUCAUAUGAAAUUUACCAUUUUUUUCUUUCUUUUGGUCAAAGCCUGUUGUUGUACUUCACCUGGACAUGCUCAUCUCUUAUCUUAUCCUUGGGGAUGUUCAUGAAACCAAAUGCAUUGCUUCUGGUUCAUGAAGCCCUUUAGCCUCUCCCAACAGGCAAAUCCUUCCAUUAAUAACAUGCUCCUAUCUCUAACAAAAGAUUAUUAUAUUUGCCAAAGAGAAAACAAAGGCGAAAUAAAUCAAUGCAAAAAAAAAAAAAAAGUAAAGAGAAGUAAUCCCUCCACUAAUCAAAUAGAAAUAAAACAAAACAACAGAAGAUUCAGCAGCUGGGAGCCAAAUCUCCACCCCCUUGUGGUUUCUUGGGUCUGCAAGUGCCCCUAGGUUCUUACACUUUGUCAUUACUGUUCUGUUUCGGAUUUCAUUUUGCUUCUUAAUGUAUUUACAUGCCAAAAUAAGACUUAGGCUGCGAAAUCUGCAUAUUCUUCAAUCAACUUGGAUACGCUGUUUUCUUGCUGCUGACUUACCAGAGAUUCAUAUUAAGGAGAGCUGUGAUCACUGUUGGUGCUGCAGUUGGAUGUACUUCCUUUUUCAAAGUGGGAAGAAUUGAGCCCUGAUCCAUUUGUCUUAGAAACGGCUGGAAGUGUGCUUUUAUAACCUUGUGGGGAUUUAAAUACAUUAGCCUAAUUAAAAUUGUUGUUUUAUUUGUUUUGGUAGGCACUCCCUUUCAUCUGCAUGAUAAUGAUUUUGCCUCAUCAUUUCAAGAAGUGUCUGUGGGUGGAAACAUGAUGAAGGGAAUCAUAAAACAAGGAGCCAUGUGAGAAGCUGAAGUAACAUGAACUAAUUUCACGAGCGUUAGUUUGAAGAUGUCUCAUGUAGAUUACGUGAUAAACAAAAAAAAGAUGGUGUAUGGGAAUUGCUAAGUCAUGGCCUGAGCCAAUAAUUGAGCACCUGGUCAAGGGACACAGCCCGCCCUGGGAGCACAGGUGAAAGCAAUUCAUCUGCGUGACUAGAAGAGGUAGAACCAGGUUCCAGCCCUCUCUAAGCCUCAUUUGAGGGCUGGCUGCCCCAAGGAAGGGGCCUCUACCUGGAGACUCUUCCUUUUAGAGUAUUUGUCAAGCCCUUAUCGUUUGGGAUGGGUGGAAGGCUCUUAUUGCUUCACCUGUGCAGCUGCCACCAAAGUUUUGACAUUCAUGGACAUGAAGGAUGGAAACAGGAUUGUAGAAUUGCUCAGACCUUGUAGAUCAUCAAGUCCAACCACAAACAUUUUUAGAGGACGAUUUGGUUUGUAUCCUACGGUGACAUUACACUGAAUAAAGAACCUUUUGCUCAAGCAAAGUGAUUAACACCAGAUUCACCUACUAUCUACUAGCACAUCGUCUUCCCAUAACAGCUAUGCUACGGGUCAAAAAUACUGUGACGUUUGUAGCAUCAGUGUUGGUACUUUCCUUUCCAAAUAAUACCAGAAAGCAAUUAAAGGGUACGUUCUCCAAUGGGCAUGGAGAGAACAGAUUUAACAAACUAUGGUGUUUUUCAUUUGGCUAGAAUCUCAACUAAAAUCCUGAGCACCGCUGCACUGGAUGGGCUCUUGAAGCAGCAGGAGACUCCACACCAUCCCCAUACGCUCCUGGUUUCAGGAAAUUCCCUGCAAUCAGGGAGGGAUUUCACGGGGACAAAGGAACGAGUCAUGCCAGAUUCAAGCACCUAUGGCUGGAAGUCAGAAAAGGAGAUUAAAGCAGAGUAGUUGCUACACACCAGCUGCUCAGUGGUCUGCAAAGAACUGCUCCUUUGAGCAGCACGGCUACUUGCCUGUGUCCGAUGGCUUUCUGGAUACUGGAACAUGUUGUGCUCACAGUAUGAAAAGGAAAAAAUUAUCUGUAUUAGUCAUAGGUAGCUGAGUGCCAUCUGUUACCCAGGCUGAAAGUGAACAUUCACCUCAAACUCUUUCAUGAUUACUGUUUGCCUUCUGGAGGAGGUGCUACUGGGGUAAAGACAUGCUACGGAAAUAGGGAGUUUUGUCAUCUCCUUUUGGUAAGCUCUAUUUGUUCUAAGUAUUACAGUUGCCUUUUAAUAUUUUAAUUAUGUUGACUUUGGCUUUUUAUUUGGAAAUCACUGUAUGUUUCCAAAAAAGAAACAUUAAAAAAAGCAUUUUUCUGGAAAAAAAAAGAAAAAUCAAUGUCCAAAGCAAGAACUGCUUGAUACCUGCUUUCUUUGUUCUUAGGCUUAUGCAAGUCGUACCUAAAAGUUAUAGGCCUGCAGAAUCUGGCCAUUAUGCCCCAAAUACUCUGACUAUAGUGUAGCAAAGAGGUUUCUUUCAUUUAUCUUUUAUUGUCUGGUAUCUUCCAAAUGCCCCCAUACACCACUAAUUGUCCAUUACUAACCUUGAGAAUGCAUACUUAACACCUUCUUACAUCUGCUGCUUAGUUCAACUAUUGUCUUUUUGUGACCCAAGUGCUAGAACUUAGCCCUCAAGUGAAUUUAUUAAUAGAUAAUUCAUAAAUAUGUUUAUGACAAUAAUAAAAGCAUUAUUUUUUCAUAUCUAGGCUAUGCUGUGCAGUAACAUCAGAACAAAAUGGUCAAAUUCCAAUAAUUUGUUAACAGACAACUGAAAGCAAACAAACUCAUAAACAUUAACAUUUUAAUGACUUACAUUCUGCAAAUGAUUUCUAAACACCAUGAUGACAACUAGGUAGUGCACACAAGAGAGAUUCCUUCAGCAUCUGUGUUUUUAGCCUCAAAUAUUGCUGCAGUACAUCAACAAGUUUUCAUCAUCAAAUCUGUAAUUAAAAAGUAAGAAAAUAUCACAGUCACCUAGGAAUAUCUGAACUGCUUUGAAACUGAAAAUCUUGUUUUGAAUCAGAAUUCAACAGGAAACCCAGCUCACCCAAGAACUUGAUUUGUCUGUUUUUCUGUUUGUUUGUUUUAUAUCCAUAGUUCCCCCAUGGUGGAGAAAUAGAUUAACUUGAGCUAAAAGAGUGCCUGCAUAUUUGCAUAAUAUUAGCCCUGAAAAAAAACACUAAGGACUACCAGGUAUAAGAUGAAACAGAAAACUAACGUAUGUAUUUCUUGGCAGUUUUUCAGCAUUUUUGUGUUUAAGACAUUGACCUACUUUCCAGAUUCUUUCAGCUCUAUCUAGUAAUCCUUAAACUCAAACUGAAAGAAACUUACUGUUCAAAAUGAAAAAUUCACUUUGGUAGAACGGGUUCUCAAAUACCAGGUAUGACUACAACAUGUUUCUCAUAGUUAAUUUUCACACUGUUGUAACUUACUUCAGUUUCUACAGUCACAGCAGCAUUUAGUAGUAGACUAAUUACUAGGAAAAUUCUCUCAGAUCUCUCAGUUGUUUUUAUCUGUGAUAUCUUUUAUGCUCUUGAUUAAUAGGAACCUCAGACCUUUAAAAAACAAAAAUUCAUUUAGGGAUUUCUACUUAAAAAGAGAACUUGGUAAACAUAACAUGAGGACCACACAGCUGUACAAGAAAAGUGGAGAGGGAAAAGUAAUUAUGCCAAGUUUCACUAAUGAACUGAUCUAUCUAAAUGGCUUCUACCACUCAAAACUCUUUUUUCCCCAUUUUUAACAUAUCUACUUGAACACCGUACCUUUUUUUGUGUGUUUUUGUGUGUGUGUGUUAUGUUACAUUAUGGCAAGAUUUGUUUUAUCACAUAGGAAAAUAUCUCCUGGGAUACAGGUGGUAAAGUUCAGGCAUGUAUGGGAAUACUCAUUGCAAUAGUUAGUAUUAAAAAAAAUAUAUGGAAGGAUGACUUAGCAUAUAUUAAUCAUCAUUGUUAAGAAUUAUGCCUAUGUAGAAAAUUGGGAUGAUGUGACAAACUAUCUGCAUCAUUGCAACUGCAAUGUGUUUCUCAGGUAAAGUGGUAGCUGAGUGCCCAGUUCUACAACAUUGCUUUCAUAAUAUUAAAAACUUAGCUGCAAACAUUAUUGAUUAUUCCAGAGCCAGUCCAAGCCUCCCACUGUGCUCUGGUGCCUUCUUUUCCCCUCUACCCCAUUCCCUCUCUGCUGAGUGGGGGGAUGGGAUACUCCAACACAACCUCUGUGAGAAAAAUGAGUGCGUUGAAUAAAAACAGAAUCAUGCUGAAAAGGAAUCUAAGAAUAUCACCCGUGCCCAAAGACUCAUGAAAAUACAUGAAGGAUUUCCCUUGAUAUACAUUCAGACACAGAUUGUGUUUACCUCUCUGGGAUAUGGAGCUGAUUAUUCAUCAUCAGUAUCUCAUCAGAAACAGAAGUUUCAGUUUCCACCCGUAUGUAAUGAAAAUGAUACGAUCACAUCAGCAUAUUUUAUUAUUAUUGUUACAUCAAAUCAUCAUCCCUAGGUACAUAUAAACACACUUUUUCUCCACUGAAAUAGCGCACUAGGUGGCCUCUUUAUAAAAUAAUAAAAACAAAAGUGUUCACAAAGAUUUGCGUCAAAAACUAUUCAUCCGUCCAAGGAAUAGAAUCAAGCAGCAUCUCUGCACACUUGUAAUAAAAUCUGCAUGACUGUCUUGAUAGUACUAAGUCCCUUAUUAAGUAAAAGGAACCUAGCAUCAUUAAAUAGAAGCAGCCUGAGGUGCAGUGAGAGAUCAUCCUCUCCCUCUGUUCAAUCCUCAUAGAGACAGAGGAACAUAAUUUUACAGGAUGUCAAAUAAAAAUUCAUACUGUCCCAUAUAAAACCUAAAAAGGCCGAUGGGACCAUCACCUUCUAACAUAGGACAAAAAUCAAUAAAUUUGUAGCAUUUCACACUGAGUGAAUCCUUGCACUUCUAAGGUCAACAGAAGCUUUAAAAGGAGAAGUGCAGCUCUAUUAAGUUGCCAAGGUCCAUGUCUAACCCCCUUCAUUGCACUGGCACCAGAUCUCCAGUACUGGAUUAACCUGGAGUAAGAGCAGCAGAGUUGAGUUGAUGCAAAGCUAUGAAUAAUGAAAGGCUUAGGGCAGGGGAUUAAAAAUACAGUUGAGAAGUUCAUCAAGGAAAAAAAAUUCAUAAAUCUCUUGAAUCCACUAAUAGCAGAAAUUCAGACAGGUAUAACUGCCCCGGUGAGCAUAUCUGCCUCUUCUGACAACCCUCAAAGAGAUCCCAACAACACAUUCUCCUGAACCAUCUCACCAAUUGGAAUAAUAGAGCUAAAAUUUCAAAACAACCAUUGGGAAUUAAAUUAGUUUUGCUGCUGCAUCCACCCUUGGGGAUGUUUGUCCAACUCUGACAGUCUCCAGAGAAAUAGCAACUUUAACUGAUGUCUAUCAACUGUUUCUGUGUCUUUCAACAAUCCAUGUUAAAAGCCCUUCUUCCUAAUACUCAGUCAAAAUAUUCUUUCUUGGAAAUUCUUCACCCUACUGUAUUGUUACAUAUUCUUGCAAAUACCCUUCAUACUUUUGACAGCUGUUCUGUAUCAUCCUCAAGACGUCGCAGCCGUUGUAAAGUGCACUAACAAUAAAAGCUCUUCUGCCAUCAAACGCCAAGCAGCCCUUCCUUUCCAUGCACGUAUGCAUGAAUUCACAUGCACACAUACAGCCUUGAGACUGAAAAUGAAACAAAUCUUGUUUUACAAUGCAAAGUCUGAGAAUAACAUCUCGCACUUAACAACACAAGGCACGGAACUGGAGAAAACUCAGGAAAUGCUCAUGAAAUUCUGUCAUUUGAAAGCCGCCUACAAAAAAACACAGAGAAGCAUUUCUGAGAAAAUUUUCUGUUUGAACAGAAGCAUUUACUGGAUAAUCUACUGGGUUUGGUUUUUUGUUUGUUUGUUGUGCUUUUUCCCAUAAUCUUUUUUUUUUAUUACAUUUUUUUCAAUCUAUAUUCAUUAUUACACCAUCUGUCGUUCUAAUAAUGAAAAUAAAUAAACUAAUGUUGAAUUCCAAGACUAUAACACCUGAAUUACGAACUUAAAAAUGUUAUUCAUGCAUCAAGUGAUAAAAACUUUUCUCAUCUCCAGCUAUUUAGAUUUCCUGAGAAUGACAGCUAAUGGCAUUUGACUGAAGCUGCAAGGAACAGAAUGAGGAGCAGUUUGGAUUGAUAGACAGGACUUUUUGCCUCCCAUUUAUCUGAAUCUUGGGUGUCGUAAAUAUGACAAUAUAUCACCCAAUGCCAUAAAUAAAAUCCAUUAGAUUUUGGAAGAGAAUUAUUUUCAGUCCUAUUGCUAAAUGUACUUAUUCCUUUCUUUGUUUCUCUCUCUUAAUCAGUUUCCAGUCCAUGCAAGUCCAUUAUGUCCUACUCUGUGAUUACUCUUAGCUUCCUUAAUAGCCUCUUGAGUUUUUUAAACCCCCCCCAAAAUUAUAUCUAUCGCUUCUCAGUUAUCUGUUAUUUUGCUGACAUCCUGGAGGAAAGGCAAUUUCCCUUUUGGGAGCAGAGCUGUUUUUCCCCUUAUAAUACCACACUCACUGUAACUCUAUAGCUAUUUUUCAGCUAAAGUACCAAUACUGAAGGAGACCCAUUUGUUUGUAAUUCUAGCACCCAUACCUAGCACAGAUUCUGCAGACAGAGAACAUAGUUUUCCUGCUGGUUGUCCAGAUUUUAAGAAUGAGAAAGUUUGGGAAACUCAUUCCUAAGCUUCCAAACAGCCCUUGAGGAAAAGUUGCCUCUGCUUCAAGGAAUGCACACCGGCAUUGCUGCCCAUUGUAUUUACAGCUUUAAUCUCCUGCAACCCAGAGCACGUGCAGCAGGGCUGUGUUCCCAGGAAGAAAUGUGAUUACUACAAAAUGAUGCAGAACAGAUUAUUUGCAUCUUUAAUCAAUAUUUUAAAUGCUAAACAACGCAUCUCGAGCACUGAUACAUGCUGUUUACCGCUUUAUCCCUAGUGGAGCAUAAUUAUAUUUUAUAUACAUGAAAGCAAUUUCAUUUGUUUGUAUCAAGAGAUACACUUGAGUAAUAUUAAAAAUAAUAAUAAUGUGCACAAUGAUCCAGACAGGAUUUAAAUGUUUUUAACAACUCUGUAUUAAAUAACACAGCUUUUUAUUAUUUUAGCAGAUGAUCUGCAUUUAGAUUAGAACAGAAAAUCAGGAGUGGGCUGUUGUUCCAUUCUUCCUCCUUUACAACUGUUCAUUUCAGUACGGUGAAAUAAAUACGAUAAAGGAAGUAUUUCUCCCCAGUUUUGAGCUUUCGUCUCACUCCCAUUUUCUAAGCAUAAGGACAAGGAAAUCAAACGCCAGGGAUAUCUGCCUUCUACAACUUGUCCUCAUAGAAGUCCACUGCCAUUCUGAGCCAUGGGUAUUCUGUGACAGAUGGGAAAAAAAACAACUCGUGAAUGACUGUAGCAGUAUCAUUGGCCCAACAAACAGCCUCUUUGCAGCCCUGCUCCCAGGCCAGCCCCAUAGGUUACAUUUCUUCUCCGAAAGAGUGGUCAGGCAUUGGCACAGGCUGCCCAGGGAGUAGGGUAGCCAUCAUCCAUGCAGGUAUUUCAGAACCAUGGAGAUGUGGCACUGGGGGAUAUGGACAGUGGGCACGGGGGGAUGGGUUGGGGUGGAGCUGGAUGGCCUUUGUGUUUUUUUCCAACCCUAAUGGUUCUGUGAUUCUGUGAACUGCAGUGGGAUAGUGUAGUGGAUAUGCUAAGUCAGGGCUUGAAGCAACAAUUGAGCACCUGGUGAGAAGGCAGGACCAGCCCUGGAAAGCUCAGGUGCAUGCAAUGUAACAGUGACUGGAAGGGGUGGAGCCAGGAUGCACCUCUUCCCAGACCUCAGUUAAGGGUUGGCAGUACAGGUGGGGGCACCUCAUUUGGAGAUCCCUGUGUAUUUGAGGACCUUACAGGCUUUCUAAAGAAGAAAAUACUGUUGAAAGGCUACUUUUCCUGAAGUCAUCCAAGGAAGAAAGGUGUUUUAUUGGGACUGGUCUGUUGGUGGAUGUUCACGUUGACCAGAUGAUGUUGAUGGGCACCCAAGCAAGCAGAAAUAGUGAAGUAUAUUUCCUGCUAUUUUAUCACUCAAAAUUCUGAGCUCUGAGCUAAAUUUCGGUGUGGAUAAAGAGGGAACUGGAAGAAAAGACAAUGGGAAGAUAAAAGAGGUAAGGCAAAGGUGAUUAUACUUCCAGGACUGUACUAAUGGUAAAACCUGUAAAUGGAUCCAUCUCUUCAUAAACGCAAAUCUACCAGAGACUAUAUGAAAGCAGUAUUUAACUGCAACACUACUUGCACAUGUUGACAAAAUACAAAAGCAAUAUUUUAAAGGGAAUGUUUGUAAAAUCAUUGCUUUCGCAGUCUAUAGAUUACAGCAGACAUGAAGA